GAUGAACGCUGGCGGCGUGCCUAGUACAUGCAAGUCGAGCGAACAGACGAGGAGCUUGCUCCUCUGACGUUAGCGGCGGACGGGUGAGUAACACGUGGAUAACCUACCUAUAAGACUGGGAUAACUUCGGGAAACCGGAGCUAAUACCGGAUAAUAUAUUGAACCGCAUGGUUCAAUAGUGAAAGACGGUUUUGCUGUCACUUAUAGAUGUAUCCGCGCCGCAUUAGCUAGUUGGUAAGGUAACGGCUUACCAAGGCAACGAUGCGUAGCCGACCUGAGAGGGUGAUCGGCCACACUGGAACUGAGACACGGUCCAGACUCCUACGGGAGGCAGCAGUAGGGAAUCUUCCGCAAUGGGCGAAAGCUUGACGGAGCAACGCCGCGUGAGUGAUGAAGGUCUUCGGAUCGUAAAACUCUGUUAUUAGGGAAGAACAAAUGUGUAAGUAACUAUGCACGUCUUGACGGUACCUAAUCAGAAAGCCACGGCUAACUACGUG
RNAcentral lists this ribosomal RNA (497 nucleotides) under uncultured bacterium. RNAcentral's name for it is "partial 16S ribosomal RNA". It matches the Rfam family "Bacterial small subunit ribosomal RNA", at positions 28 to 507 of the family's 1533-position model. The record is from RNAcentral.